AGCGGCGGACGGGUGAGUAAUGCCUAGGAAUCUGCCUGGUAGUGGGGGAUAACGUUCGGAAACGGACGCUAAUACCGCAUACGUCCUACGGGAGAAAGCAGGGGACCUUCGGGCCUUGCGCUAUCAGAUGAGCCUAGGUCGGAUUAGCUAGUUGGUGGGGUAAUGGCUCACCAAGGCGACGAUCCGUAACUGGUCCGAGAGGAUGAUCAGUCACACUGGAACUGAGACACGGUCCAGACUCCUACGGGAGGCAGCAGCU
This 259-nucleotide ribosomal RNA is filed under the name uncultured Pseudomonas sp. RNAcentral's name for it is "partial 16S ribosomal RNA". It matches the Rfam family "Bacterial small subunit ribosomal RNA", at positions 94 to 355 of the family's 1533-position model. Lineage: Bacteria; Pseudomonadati; Pseudomonadota; Gammaproteobacteria; Pseudomonadales; Pseudomonadaceae. The record is from RNAcentral.